GGAAUUUUCGGAUGUUGCUGAGUGGCGGACGGGUGAGUAACGCAUGGAUACCUGCCUCACACUGGGGGAUAACAGUUAGAAAUGACUGCUAAUACCGCAUAAGACCGCAUGGUAAAAACUCCGGUGGUGUGAGAUGGAUCCGCGUCUGAUUAGCCAGUUGGCGGGGUAACGGCCCACCAAAGCGACGAUCAGUAGCCGACCUGAGAGGGUGACCGGCCACAUUGGGACUGAGACACGGCCCAAACUCCUACGGGAGGCAGCAGUGGGGAAUAUUGCACAAUGGGCGAAAGCCUGAUGCAGCGACGCCGCGUGAGGAAGAAGUAUUUCGGUAUGUAAACUCUAUCAGCAGGGAAGAAAAUGACGGUACCUGACUAAGAAGCCCCGGCUAACUACGUGCCAG
Molecule: ribosomal RNA, 400 nt
Filed under: uncultured bacterium
Lineage: Bacteria
Description: bacterial SSU rRNA
Rfam family: Bacterial small subunit ribosomal RNA
Source: RNAcentral